RNAcentral lists this long non-coding RNA (851 nucleotides) under Pongo abelii (Sumatran orangutan). Its description in RNAcentral is "lincRNA". The record is from RNAcentral. Lineage: Eukaryota; Metazoa; Chordata; Mammalia; Primates; Hominidae.
GAGCAGGGAGGCUGGGGUGGAUCGGCUGCCUGCUGUCUCUGACUGGAAGCCACUACCUUUAGGGCAGGAACUCCGACUACUUCACUUGCCACUGGAUCAUCUGGGUUUUGAAGAAACCAAGAUGCCUUUCAUUAAUUCUUCCAACUAAAUUAAUGGAGUCACUGUAUCUUGAAGACCAUUAGCAGAGCAGAAACAAGAGUUUUGGCUGGAAAAGGGUUUCUGCUUUUUUAUCUUCUUCGUUUUCUCUUGCCACCACCAUGUAAGAAGUGCCUUUCACCUCCCACAAUGAUCCUGAGGUCUCCCCAGCCAUGUGGAAAUAUGUGCACAAUUGUUAUCACUGAUGUACCUGUGUCUUCAGCCUGUUUGACUACACUGGGGUGAGGACAUUGUGGAACAGAUGGAUUAUAAUCUACCUGGGCUCACACAGCUAGGAGGUGAUAAAGGAAAGAAGCAGCAUGUAGCCAUUGGACCCAACCCCUUUAGCCACUGUAGAGCUUGAGAGAGCUGGAUCUCUCCAAGUUACAUCUGGCUUUUUGAUUAUCUGACAAAGGAGAACAUGAAGAAUGAAUUCCAUCGUUACCAAAAAGUCAUAGUGAUAUUAACACAUGCCCUGAUAACCUGAAAAAGCUGCUGUAAAACCAGAGAGCAGUUCGAUAAUGAGCCUGGGACAUAUACAAGAAAACCUGAGCUGUAGAGUGAGUGUCUGCAAAGGCUGAGAGGGCUCCCACUAUGCUUCAUUCUCCCGGAGGUUGCUUUUAUCCAACUCACAGUUGCUUCUUUUGCUCUUUACUUUGUGGAGGUGUUUGGAAAUCUUGAAAUUCUUAAGGUCGCUUUGACCUUCUUAGAUGAAA